RNAcentral lists this ribosomal RNA (240 nucleotides) under uncultured bacterium. Its description in RNAcentral is "partial 16S ribosomal RNA". It matches the Rfam family "Bacterial small subunit ribosomal RNA", at positions 15 to 249 of the family's 1533-position model. The record is from RNAcentral.
GAUCCUGGCUCAGGACGAACGCUGGCGGCGCGCCUAACACAUGCAAGUCGAACGAGCGAGAGAGAGCUUGCUUUCUCGAGCGAGUGGCGAACUGGUGAGUAACGCGUGAGGAACCUGCCUCAAAGAGGGGGACAACAGUUGGAAACGACUGCUAAUACCGCAUAAGCCCACGACCCGGCAUCGGGUAGAUAGGAAAAGGAGCAAUCCGCUUUGAGAUGGCCUCGCGUCCGAUUAGCUAGG